AUGGGGGCGACGGGAGCAACGGCCAGAGCAACAAGUGCGUCGGCCGCGGCGGGGGGUAGUAAUGUUCAGGUGCGAGAGAUCUUCAUCACGGUGUGCUUCACGCUUAUUGACGGUGGUCAACGUUGGUCCUUCACAACGGUGUAUGGACUUCAUGAUGCGCAUAGGAAGCCUGCUUUCCUCAUGGAGCUCCUCCCGGCGCCGUCCGCCACCCACCUGCCCCCGGCUUCCGGCGCCACCCGCCCCCACCUCCCCACAGCUCCCGACUCCGCCCGCCCCCCAACUCCACCCCGCAUCCCGGCGCCGCCCCGCCCCCACUUCCUCCCUCGCUCCCGGCGCCGCCCCCUGCUUCCACCCAACGCCGGCGCCGCCCCUGCUUCUACCCGCCACCGGCGCCGCCCUGACUCGCCGCUUCCCCCCGCUAUCGACGUGCCUCCCUGCUUCCAAGCGCCACCGUUGCCACUCUGCAUCCAGCCGUCGCCGUCGGGAGCCACCAUAGCGCCACCAAUCGCUGCGACCAGCCGUCCCUACCACCGUCUUGGCGACCCUCCCCAACCCCCGCAGCGGACCGUCGCAUCCACGUCGCUGCAUCUCGCGGCCACUGCGCGCCAUCCAACUCGGCAGUCCAACUGCUUGCUCCAUGCUCGGUCGCUCAAGGAGCUGCGUGAAGGUCACCCCGCGCUCCACCUUCCGGACACGCGACCCCGUCGCCGUGCUCCUGCAGCCACCUCCGGGGCGGUGUGCCCGGCCUCCUCUCUCCUCCUGCCACCUCCUAGCGCCGCGCCGAGCACACCGCGGGUUGCCUCUUCCUCUUGCUUACUCCCGCACGAGGCACGCUGCGCCGAGCACGCACCCGGCCGCCCCCCACCUCCGGACAAAAAUGAAAAAAAGCAUCCUUUUCAGUGCACCUUCGUAUGCAUUUUCAGUUCAUUUUACAGGUCAAGGACAAUCCUGAAGCGCCUCCUCAAGCUCUGCGACGAUAACUGGGCGCCCAUCGAGGACGAGAGCUACCGCAUCCUUGUUGACACCAUACUGGGUGGCAAAAGCAAUGAACCAAUACCUACCACUACCCGUCAUCCUUUCCAAAUUGCAGUUUUCACAUCAGGUGACGUGCCAAAAAGAGUCCAAGGCUCACAACCCGACGCGGGGUCAGACCAGAUGACCAACACCUCUCCUGCUCAGUAUGACAAGGAUAAAAAAACAGUUUCAUGCGAUGAGCCCGUCCCCAGCGCCGCCAGCCUCAUGUCCUUCCCUCCCGCUUCCGCAUGCACCCACCGCCGCCACGACCACGUCUCCACCCUCACCACGCCCGCCACCGCUGUGACCACCCCUCCCCCUCACGAUUUCUCGUUGAUAUCGCUGUAUUCGUGCUUGUUACGUGAGUUGCCUGAUGGAAGUUCUGCAACUGUCAGUCCAGAUGGAAGAAGGAGAUCCGUCCAAAUCCAAGUGGGAGAACAAAACUGCCACCGAACUGACGCCCCCUUCUCCCAGGAACCACCGCUGUCGGUACUUGCUUCCUGCGCCCCGCCGCUGCCCGGGGACCCAACGCGCUGCCGCUCCUCUGAUUCUGCUCCCCGGCUGUUGGGCUGUAUAUGUGUGAAUUUGGCCCAUGUGGCCCAUGUCGCCGGCGGUGAAUCGGCUGCGCGGGGCACUAGAGGCGGGACCGGCGGUGGUAGAGGCGCGCCUGGAGAGGACCGGCGGGCGCGGCUGCGUGCGAGCGCGCGGGCUGCCUGCGGAGCGCCUAGAGGGGAUUGGAGGCUACGGGCUGCACUGCUCUCUCCCGUGAAGAGGUGCGCGCGCGCGAAGUGCUGCUGGUGCUGCGGGUGCUACUGUGUGUGGCAGAGGACAGAGGAAGGAGGCAGCUGCGCCAGGGGAGAGGCCAAGUACUGGCUGGUUUGCUGCUUGUGCGGCUGGUUUGCUGCUGCUGGAGAAAGACUGAGAACUGUCUGCAGUUGCUGCUGCUUGCUGUUGGUGCGGCAGAGGGUGCUCUUUGCACUCCUGCUGCUUGCGGCUGCUGUGUGCUGGAACUGCUGUUGUUUGCAGAGGAGAAGGAGGAAGAGGCUGUUGUUGCUGCUUGCAACUGCUGUUGCUGACUCUGUUGCUGCUGGUGGUGUACUACAGUGGAAAAAUCAGGGACUCGAGAAGGCAAUUGAAAAAUUGGCUGAGCUCCUAACAGCCAAGGUAGGAGCUGCAGCAUCUCCAAAUAAUGCAAUUGUUCCUCACAUUGAGCCGAUUCAGAAAAUUGACUUGAUGCCAAAUGAAGUUAAGCUGGAAGGUGUUAAGAAUUAUUUGAUCUGGUCAAGAAGGGCGCUACUCAUCUUGAGGACUAAAGGGCUUGAGGGCUUUGUUAGUGGUGAGGCAGAGGAGCCAGGAGACACGAAAACUGCAGAAUGGAGGACAUGGAGCAGUACCAACUCUUUGAUAGUGGCAUGGUUGUUGAACUCCUUGUCUCCAAACAUUGCUGCAACUGUUGAGACUAUCUCAACUGCUUCUGAGGUAUGGAAAACCCUCUCAAAACUGUACUCAGGUGAAGGGAAUGUGAUGUUAAUAGCUGAAACAGAGGAGAGAGUUGGUGAACUCAGACAAGGGGAAAAUUCUAUGAUGGAGUAUGUUGCUGAACUGCAGCAUUUGUGGGCUGAUUUAGAUCACUAUGAUCCUCUGGAUUUGCUACAUGCAGAUUGCAUAGCAGCUGCUAGAAAAUGGAUUGAACGCAGGCGAGUGAUGCAGUUUCUCAAAGGAUUGAACUCUGAAUUUGAGGCGAGACGUGCUACUUUAUUUCAUCAACCUACUCUACCUACCUUAGAGGAUGCCAUAGCAGCAAUGGCACAAGAGGAGGUCCGAUUAAAGUUGAUGAAGAACAAUACAACGACUCCAUCUCAUCCAGCCUUCAUAGCAACCGACUAUAAGAGCAGAGAGUGCUUCAACUGCAUUGAGAAGGGUCAUUUGAUUCGUUCUUGCACGCUCCACGUAGGAACAUGCGUGGAAGGGGGAGAGGAUAUAACCGAGUUGGAUUAA
RNAcentral lists this ribosomal RNA (3012 nucleotides) under Triticum aestivum (bread wheat). RNAcentral's name for it is "partial small subunit ribosomal RNA". Lineage: Eukaryota; Viridiplantae; Streptophyta; Magnoliopsida; Poales; Poaceae. The record is from RNAcentral.